Molecule: non-coding RNA, 186 nt
Filed under: Thiohalospira halophila DSM 15071
Lineage: Bacteria; Pseudomonadati; Pseudomonadota; Gammaproteobacteria; Thiohalospirales; Thiohalospiraceae
Description: 6S / SsrS RNA
Rfam family: 6S / SsrS RNA
About the family: E. coli 6S RNA was the first non coding RNA to be sequenced, but its function was unknown until recently.
Source: Rfam by way of RNAcentral
UAUCCCCUGCGGUGUUCGCACACAUCCGGGAAGACCCUUGAGCCUUAACGCAGCACCAAAGGGGAACGAUAUCGUGGUGCGGUGAGCACGUCCGCCUCCGAGCGGAAAGCCUGAAGCAUCACUGAGCUCCCCGCCUUGAACCUCCGGUUCAAGGACGAAGGAUGAUGCGGCACAGGCGGGGGAUAC